Molecule: ribosomal RNA, 434 nt
Filed under: uncultured bacterium
Lineage: Bacteria
Description: bacterial SSU rRNA
Rfam family: Bacterial small subunit ribosomal RNA
Source: RNAcentral
GAUGAACGCUGGCGGCGUGCUUAAUACAUGCAAGUCGAACGGGGUUUGGUUGGUAGUAAUACUGAUCAGACUUAGUGGCGAACGGGCGAGUAACGAGUUGGCGACCUGCCCCGAAGAGAGGGAUAACAUGCCGAAAGGGAUGCUAAUACCUCAUAAUAUCCCGAUAGUUAGAGAAUUGGGAAGAAAGUGGAGACACGCUUUGGGAGGGGCCUGCUUCCCAUCAGCUAGUUGGAGUGGUAACGGCACACCAAGGCGACGACGGGUAAGGGACCUGAGAGGGUGGUCCCUCGCAAUGGCACUGAAACACGGGCCAUACACCUACGGGUGGCAGCAGUAGGGAAUAUUGGGCAAUGGGCGAAAGCCUGACCCAGCAACGCCGCGUGCGCGAAGAAGGCCUUCGGGUCGUAAGCGCUUUCUGUAGGGAUGAGAAGGAC